Molecule: ribosomal RNA, 346 nt
Filed under: uncultured bacterium
Lineage: Bacteria
Description: partial 16S ribosomal RNA
Rfam family: Bacterial small subunit ribosomal RNA
Source: RNAcentral
CCUACGGGUGGCAGCAGUGAGGAAUAUUGGUCAAUGGACGAGAGUCUGAACCAGCCAAGUAGCGUGAAGGAUGACUGCCCUAUGGGUUGUAAACUUCUUUUAUAAAGGAAGAAAACGAGGCACGUGUGCCUUUUUGCAUGUACUGUAUGAAUAAGGAUCGGCUAACUCCGUGCCAGCAGCCGCGGUAAUACGGAGGAGCCGAGCGUUCUCCGGAUUUAGUGGGGUUAAAGGGAGCGUAGAGGGGUUGUGAAGUCAGUUGUGAAAGUUUGCGGCUCAACCGUAAAAUUGCAAUUGAUACUGGCAGUCUUGAGUACCGUUGAGGUAGGCGGCAUUCGUGUUGUAGCGG